GUAAUAAUACAAAAAGAGAUGAAAACAUUUAUAGUAAAUACAUAUUGGUGGUGGCGCUCCGUACAACUCAAAAGGUCGUAAGGAACGAAGACUUAUAUGUAUAUACUAGAUUAAGAAAAAUACAAAAAGAGGUCUGU
RNAcentral lists this non-coding RNA (137 nucleotides) under Parabacteroides bouchesdurhonensis. Its description in RNAcentral is "Bacteroidete tryptophan peptide leader RNA". It matches the Rfam family "Bacteroidete tryptophan peptide leader RNA". Lineage: Bacteria; Pseudomonadati; Bacteroidota; Bacteroidia; Bacteroidales; Tannerellaceae. The record is from RNAcentral.